Molecule: long non-coding RNA, 1087 nt
Organism: Acanthochromis polyacanthus (spiny chromis)
Lineage: Eukaryota; Metazoa; Chordata; Actinopteri; Pomacentridae
Exons: 3
Source: RefSeq, a predicted model, not a curated record
UUUUUUGCAGGUUGAGGCAUGACGCCGUGUGCAGCACAGGCAUACCACGCAGUGCUUCUCUAUCCCCCAGCUCUCUCACACUCUGACGGGGGAUACAGAUUGCAACAUACCUCCAAGUAUGCAAAGUCCCGCACAGAGUGCCUCAGCAACCUGAGCUAACCCCACACAAACAUGCACACACUGUACUUUCCCUGCAGCAUGCGCCGUACAGCACACGCUAAAGGAGACGACGACCAAACCGAUUCCCAAAGCCGCUGCACGAGUCCAAGACAAACAGAAGAAACAAGGAGCUGGAGCCAGAAAAGAUGACACAAAGCAAACUUACAGCGCUGACCUGAUGACGCAGUGGGACUGUAAGAUAUGCAUGGCAGUACCACCAAGGCCAACCCCGAGAACGCUGCCAGAUCCUCCACUCGCGACUCCUGACAGUGACUGUGCAGCGGCUCUAACAGGAAAUGGAGAAGGAUGAAGCCCAAGGGUCCACCACAGUCGCCGUGCUCAUGGUUGUCCAUGAGGCACUGGUCAUGUUCAGACCCAUAGCCCUCCAAGGGAAUAGUGCCAUGGACGAUACUGACAGCUUUCCUCAGGCAGUUUGCUGGUCUUUGGCCUUGAAUAUUCCUUGCAUUUAGACGACCCUAAAAGGACGGAAAUAUGCUGAACUUCAUGAAAGCAGGCAUGCUAGCUAGCGAAGGGGACAAGACCUUCUCUUUGAAGCUGCUAACCCUAAAGACCACUCUGCUGGGUUUGACCAGUAAGGGGUGACUGGUAACCGAUGCAAACAACACUCAAUCAAAGGACUGUUCAGUGCUUUUCAUGUUGAGCCUCUUUUGUGUUGAUUGCUCAUUGUUUAUUGACUUAAAUUCACAAAUUUGUGUGGUUUUGAAGGAAUAAUGUUUGAAAUAUAUCACAACUGCAUGAGGUCCAGUUUUUUUUAGGAACUUAUUGCUUGAAAUGUCUUUGUCCAGCACUACCUAUAAGUCAUAAAGUGAAAACUAACAAUUUAUGCUCUAAAUGAGAAUUUGAGAUCUUUUCUGAGAGUAUGACUUAGUUUUCAUUUGAAAAUAAAAGCUCCAGCUGUUGUAAACAG